Molecule: long non-coding RNA, 1379 nt
Filed under: Nicotiana tabacum (common tobacco)
Lineage: Eukaryota; Viridiplantae; Streptophyta; Magnoliopsida; Solanales; Solanaceae
Description: long non-coding RNA (NTAB_LNC011179)
Source: RNAcentral
AUGCGUUUAAGAUAUAAACAUGAAUAGCAUACAUGAGGGAAACCUAUCCAAAAGACAUAUGUAUAUAUAUGCGGAAUAUAGUGGGCGAGCCGACAAGGCUGCUAUAGACAACUAUAUACCCAAAACUGGAAGCCGUCAAGGCCACAUACUAUCUAACUAUACAUAACUGUCUACAGACCUCUAAUAGAAAUACAGUUGUACAAAGACGGGACUGAGCCACGUUAUACCCAUAUAUGUAUACAAGCAUAUCGUACCAAAAUUAAAAGCAUCUCUGGAUCAAGUCGAGCACGCCAACUCUCGCUGAUCAAAGAUCCUAAUGAAGGGGGACCGUCGGCUUGUCUACCUGCACUACGAGCAUGAAACGCAAGCCCCGGAAAAUAGGGCGUCAGUGUGAAUAAUGUAUUGAGUAUGUAAAGCAUAAAAAUCAGUACAUAAAUGACAUAGAUGAAACAUGGAAUAAAGAAAUCCACCUAUAAGUCUGAAUAACUUUGUAAAUUCUGCUAUAUUUAUAGUGUCAUGCACGUGCAUAUAAAUAUCAUGUCAUGCAUAGGUAUAAGUUUACAUAACAUCAUCAAGCCUUCGAGGGCAUCCCAUCAUAUCCUCUCGGCCACUGUGGGCAACAUCAUCAACAUAUACCAACUGAUCAGGUGGUGGUAUGUAUAUAACGUCGUAACUUUUUUUCAUAUCUCAUAUACAUAUAAAUACGUGUAUAUAACGCCAUCUGGUCAUCAGGGGCGUACGCAGAUAUUUUUGUAAGCUGUGUCGAAAUUUAUAAAAGAAUUAAAAUAUAAAUUUGCUUAUCAUAGAAUAACCUUAGUCUAUUGAGUUUGUUGAGUCUUAAGUUACAAAAGGUCCUGAGUAUUUGCAAAAGAAAAAUGUGCUAGUUGAGGUUUGAACCUUUGACCUCUUAGAGAAAAUCAAGCACAUUACCAACAUACCAAGACACAAUUUAUGUCAAGUGGUGUCAUUUUCCUAGUUAUCUGUUUCCGUACAGCAUUAAUACAUAUAUUUUGUAAAAUUUUCCGACGAAGCGGUGUCGCGUGACACCGCUUCGGUAAGCAUAAAUCCACCCCGGCUGGUCAUGGAUCGAUGUACAUGUAUAAAUGCAUGAAAUGCAUAAAAAUAGGUUAAUAAUCUCAAUAUUCCUUUCGGAUAAACUUUAUCAACUGCGUAUUAUUUUGAGACCCAUGAACAGAAAAUAUAAUAAUACGUCACGUGGGGCAUCAAGAACAUAAAGACCCCUAGUAUUUCUAUGAAUAGAGUCGUUUAUGAAAGCUGUGCAUUUGCUCGUUUCUUUUGUAUCAUUUGGAUCAUGCCAAAAAGAAAGGAAGGAUAGCUUUAACAUACCUGGAGUAGGAAAAAAUCCGUAUGGUAUUCUU